GAUGAACGCUAGCGGGAGGCCUAACACAUGCAAGCCGAGCGGUAGAGUUCCUUCGGGAACUUGAGAGCGGCGUACGGGUGCGUAACACGUGUGCAACCUACCUUUAUCUGGGUGAUAGCCUUUCGAAAGGAAGAUUAAUACCCCAUAAUAUAUUGAAUGGCAUCAUUUAAUAUUUAAAACUCUGGUGGAUAGAGAUGGGCACGCGCAAGAUUAGAUAGUUGGUGAGGUAACGGCUCACCAAGUCUGUGAUCUUUAGGGGUCCUGAGAGGGAGAUCCCCCACACUGGUACUGAGACACGGACCAGACUCCUACGGGAGGCAGCAGUGAGGAAUAUUGGACAAUGGGUGAGAGCCUGAUACAGCCAUCCCGCGUGAAGGAUGACGGUCCUAUGGAUUGUAAACUUCUUUUGUACAGGAAUAAACCUAUUUACGUGUAAAUAGCUGAAGGUACUGUACGAAUAAGCACCGGCUAACUCCGCGCCAGCCGCCGCCGUAA
RNAcentral lists this ribosomal RNA (495 nucleotides) under uncultured bacterium. RNAcentral's name for it is "partial 16S ribosomal RNA". It matches the Rfam family "Bacterial small subunit ribosomal RNA", at positions 28 to 523 of the family's 1533-position model. The record is from RNAcentral.